RNAcentral lists this ribosomal RNA (796 nucleotides) under uncultured bacterium. RNAcentral describes it as "bacterial SSU rRNA". It matches the Rfam family "Bacterial small subunit ribosomal RNA", at positions 600 to 1388 of the family's 1533-position model. The record is from RNAcentral.
UCNUCUGGCUUAACUGGGGGCUUGCGGUGGGUACGGGCCGGCUUGAGUGCGGUAGGGGAGACUGGAACUCCUGGUGUAGCGGUGGAAUGCGCAGAUAUCAGGAAGUACACCGGUGGCGAAGGCGGGUCUCUGGGCCGUUACUGACGCUGAGGAGCGAAAGCGUGGGGAGCGAACAGGAUUAGAUACCCUGGUAGUCCACGCCGUAAACGUUGGGCACUAGGUGUGGGGGGCCUUUUCCGGGUCUUCCGCGCCGUAGCUAACGCAUUAAGUGCCCCGCCUGGGGAGUACGGCCGCAAGGCUAAAACUCAAAGGAAUUGACGGGGGCCCGCACAAGCGGCGGAGCAUGCGGAUUAAUUCGAUGCAACGCGAAGAACCUUACCAAGGCUUGACAUGUGCCGGUCGGCUCCGGAGACGGGGUUUCCUCCUUGUGGGGCCGGUUCACAGGUGGUGCAUGGUUGUCGUCAGCUCGUGUCGUGAGAUGUUGGGUUAAGUCCCGCAACGAGCGCAACCCUUGUCCCGUGUUGCCAGCACGUUGUGGUGGGGACUCGCGGGAGACUGCCGGGGUCAACUCGGAGGAAGGUGGGGAUGACGUCAAAUCAUCAUGCCCCUUAUGUCUUGGGCUUCACGCAUGCUACAAUGGCCGGUACAGAGGGCUGCGAUACCGUGAGGUGGAGCGAAUCCCUUAAAGCCGGUCUCAGUUCGGAUCGGUGUCUGCAACUCGACACCGUGAAGUUGGAGUCGCUAGUAAUCGCAGAUCAGCAACGCUGCGGUGAAUACGUUCUCGGGCCUUGUACAC